Long non-coding RNA from Acanthochromis polyacanthus (spiny chromis), 175 nucleotides. RefSeq lists it as uncharacterized. The transcript is spliced from 2 exons. NCBI's taxonomy places the organism in Eukaryota, Metazoa, Chordata, Actinopteri, Pomacentridae. The record is from RefSeq and is a predicted model, not a curated record.
CUGAAGCACAGAAAGCCUGUCUCACCAGUGAGACCAACGGUGUGAGGGAGAGCCAGCAGAUUUUGAAAAAUGGGUUGGCCUUCACCCCUGUCAUGUCCUUAAUGAUGUCAUACAACCGAUCUGCCCCUUGAUAGGAGAAACAAGAUCAGUUAAACAGGAUUAGUUGAUCAGAUCA